This 252-nucleotide ribosomal RNA is filed under the name uncultured bacterium. Its description in RNAcentral is "partial 16S ribosomal RNA". It matches the Rfam family "Bacterial small subunit ribosomal RNA", at positions 524 to 776 of the family's 1533-position model. The record is from RNAcentral.
UACGGGGGGGCAAGCGUUGUUCGGAAUUACUGGGCGUAAAGGGCUCGUAGGUGGCCAACUAAGUCAGACGUGAAAGCCCCCGGCUCAACCGGGGAACGGCGCGGGAAACUAGCAGGCUUGAGUUCGGGAGAGGGAAGCGGAAUUCCGGGUGUAGCGGUGAAAUGCGCAGAUAUCCGGAGGAACACCGGUGGCGAAGGCGGCUUCCUGGACCGACACUGACGCUGAGGCGCGAAAGCUAGGGGAGCAAACGGG